RNAcentral lists this ribosomal RNA (465 nucleotides) under uncultured bacterium. RNAcentral describes it as "partial 16S ribosomal RNA". It matches the Rfam family "Bacterial small subunit ribosomal RNA", at positions 28 to 507 of the family's 1533-position model. The record is from RNAcentral.
GACGAACGCUGGCGGCGUGCUUAACACAUGCAAGUCGAACGGAAAGGCCCUGCUUGCAGGGUACUCGAGUGGCGAACGGGUGAGUAACACGUGGGUGAUCUGCCCUUCACUUCGGGAUACGCCUGGGAAACUGGGUCUAAUACCGGAUAGGAGCCAUUUUUAGUGUGAUGGUUGGAAAGUCUUUUCGGUGUAGGAUGAGCUCGCGGCCUAUCAGCUUGUUGGUGGGGUAAUGGCCUACCAAGGCGGCGACGGGUAGCCGGCCUGAGAGGGUGGACGGCCACAUUGGGACUGAGAGACGGCCCAGACGCCGACGGGAGGCAGCAGUGGGGAAGAUUGCACAAUGGGCGCAAGCCUGAUGCAGCGACGCCGCGUGGGGGAUGACGGCCUUCGGGUUGUAAACGCCUUUCGCUAGGGACGAAGCUUUUUGUGACGGUACCUAGAUAAGAAGCACCGGCUAACUACGUG